Molecule: ribosomal RNA, 446 nt
Filed under: uncultured bacterium
Lineage: Bacteria
Description: partial 16S ribosomal RNA
Rfam family: Bacterial small subunit ribosomal RNA
Source: RNAcentral
CUACGGGGCGCUCCAGUGGGGAAUUUUGCGCAAUGGGCGAAAGCCUGACGCAGCGACGCCGCGUGGAGGAAGAAGGUCUUCGGGUUGUAAACUCCUUUAGUACGGGAAGAAGCCUUCGGGUGACGGUACCGUAAGAAUAAGCCACGGCUAACUCUGUGCCAGCAGCCGCGGUAAGACAGAGGUGGCAAGCGUUGUUCGGAUUUACUGGGCUUAAAGGGCGUGUAGGCGUCUUGAUAAGUCAGAUGUGGAAGCCCUGGGCUCAACCCAGGAAGUGCAUUUGAAACUGUCGGGAUUGAGUCAUGCAAGGGAAGGCGGAAUUCCUGGUGUAGCGGUGAAAUGCGUAGAUAUCAGGAGGAAGGCCGGUGGCGAAGGUGGCCUUCUGGGCAAUGACUGACGCUGAGGCGCGAAAGCGUGGGGAGCAAACAGGAUUAGAUACCCCGGUAGUC